GGAGUUCCUUAUUGCCACUUAAAAAAGCUCAAUUAACAUAGUUACAUUCAACCAAAAAACAAAAUAUAUAUAAACCAAUCUAGGUUUCGUGAAGGAAGUGAGAAGCUAAAAUAUAACAGAAUUUUGUUGUUUCAUCUCUCAUAAAGGUAGAAAAUGUCCAGCCCUCAUAAGAAAUUGCCUAUGAGAUCGCAUUCCAUUGGUUUUUUAAGACCCUUGCACUAAGCUCUUCAAGUCUGGCCGUCUUGAGUUACAGUAGCAAGAACAUUGGCAACAACAGUUGUACAGAAUUAAUAUCUCUCUUUCGCUGCAAAAACUUAAUCUUAAAUAAUUAUUUCCUCCUCUUCAACAGUAGAAAAUUUAUUUGGAUAGCUCUGCGCUUAAAGCCUCAAACAGGAGAGUUGGAAAUUCCCAUUGCUUGAUGGCUGCAUUAUUUUCUGUCAGGUACGCUAAAGAGGCAGUCAAGUAUUUAUGGGAUAACAAUGGUGAUGAAUUGUGCAGGUGCUCGAGGCAUUUGUCAUGUUAUUGCUCUCCUCAUUUGCAUUUUUCAGCUGAAGUAUUCAGCUUCCCUUACUGCAAGACUCAAGAAUUAGGAAUCUUUUCUAUCAUAAUGGAGCACAAAGGGAAAGGAGAGCUGGUUUAAAUGCAGUAGUCAUUGUAGAGGUAGAAAAAUAUUCACAAAGUGUUCAAGACUAUAUGAGUUGUAAUUGCACAAAAUAAAAAUAAAUAGAUGUAUUUUUAUGUUAAUUCGCUAAAAGCAUUGAUCAGUUUUUUGCUUUCACUCUAUACUUGUCUUUUGAAUCUAAGUCCAUAACAAUUGUCUGAAAAAAGGCAAAAACAUUAAUAUUUCAGUCACAUAUAGGAGUUAUUUUUUAAUCAUAUUUCCACAAGAAACAUCCAGCAUAAACAAUAGGUAUUCAGUAAUCGACGAAUAGUUGUUUGUAAUAUGGCAAGCAAAAUAUACGCAGUAAAAAGAGCAGAUAAAGUAAAUUCCAAUGAUGGCUCAUCAAGCAUGAACCAUUCCUUUAGAAACAAUGAUUCUUCAAGUUAAUAAGCUCAAGCAUUUAGAGUACGGUAGUCAAACAUCUUAUGAGGCUAAUGUGAAAUAAUGGCUACUUUUCCAAUUACAUGCAUAAACAAAUUAUCAAUAUGGGACCAAGAACACAUUCCACAAACAUCAUAUGCCAAAUAAAGGUAGUUAUGGAUGCUAAUUCAGGAUUCAAAAAUAGUGACAUAAGAAAGUCAUGGGUGCUAAUUCAAGGUUCAUUUCAGAACGAACAUAUAAAAUUAUAUUGGUAUCCCUUAUAUUAAAAAUGAAUGUCAGCCAAAUGCAGACUGUAAACUUUAAAAAUCCAAAGAGAUAAGGAUCUUACUUCAUCAUAAGAUGUGUCUAACUAAUAUAUGCCAUAAUCAACAUUCCUUUCCCAUAUGAGCAAAAUUAUAAUCUUUCAUUUGCACUAUGGCUCCCGGCUCCUUGAGUUUCAACCUUUAUUUUCACUGCUAAUUUCACAGUAAUAUCAAAGAAUUCAACAACAUUCACAAAAAAUUCCUCAAUAAGUCAUAUUACAUGGAAGUUAAAAGAUCACAUAGAAAAUAAAUCCUCUGGAAGCAGGAAUUCCUGACAUACGAUAAUUUUUUUCAGUUUGUUUGAAAGAAUUCUAAAUUAAAAAGAUAUCACAUGAGAAAUUUUCUACUCAUUCUUACAGUUAUAUCUAAUUUGCAGUCAUACUGCAAUAGAAAUACACAUGCAAGCAAAUGGAAUACAAUUUUCAAAGAACAUCAAAUAAAAUUAAAUCUAGAAACACUUUACACUUAGCUGGUAACUCCUUGUAGACAGUAAAGUAAGAAAUAUUGAGACAAAAGCAUAGGAUCCAUUAAAUAGAGCGAAGUCUGUAACUGAGCUUCAUUAGCCAUUAUUGGUACUAUCAACCGAUUAAUUUUUGGAGCUAAUUUCUCUUCACGCCAUAGACGCCCUCAUUUUGCUGGGAGAUUUCAUCAGACACAGGUGGCAUCAAAGUUCUUCCCUUUGUCAUUACUAUUUUUGUUCUAGAUAGCAAUUUUCAAGAAAGAGCUGAGAAGAACUACGCAGAACUCAGAAUCCACAUAUGCUAAUUAAUGGCAAAGCUGGAGAAAUUUUGAUAUAAAUGCAGAACCAAAAGGCAAUAUAGAGAAUGAGUGACAAAAAGAAAAAAAAUAGCUUUGUCAUUGAAAAGUCUGAACACGAAGAACACCAAAACUAAGACAUCUAGUGGAUUAAGCUCCACGCCCACAGAUUUCUCUCUCUUUGAAACUCUAGAAGAAGAGAGCAAUUCAAUUGACACGAAUUGUGUCUAUAGAAAAAGUCUUGACUACCAAUAAAAUGGACCAGCGCUUACAGUACAUUGUACAUUGCCUUUUGCACAAUCA
This 2403-nucleotide long non-coding RNA is filed under the name Nicotiana tabacum (common tobacco). Its description in RNAcentral is "long non-coding RNA (NTAB_LNC002566)". The record is from RNAcentral. Lineage: Eukaryota; Viridiplantae; Streptophyta; Magnoliopsida; Solanales; Solanaceae.